This 85-nucleotide transfer RNA is filed under the name Monomastix sp. OKE-1. RNAcentral's name for it is "tRNA-Ser". It matches the Rfam family "tRNA". Rfam says of the family: Transfer RNA (tRNA) molecules are approximately 80 nucleotides in length. Their secondary structure includes four short double-helical elements and three loops (D, anti-codon, and T loops). Further hydrogen bonds mediate the characteristic L-shaped molecular structure. tRNAs have two regions of fundamental functional importance: the anti-codon, which is responsible for specific mRNA codon recognition, and the 3' end, to which the tRNAs corresponding amino acid is attached (by aminoacyl-tRNA synthetases). tRNAs cope with the degeneracy of the genetic code in two manners: having more than one tRNA (with a specific anti-codon) for a particular amino acid; and 'wobble' base-pairing, i.e. permitting non-standard base-pairing at the 3rd anti-codon position. The record is from RNAcentral. Lineage: Eukaryota; Viridiplantae; Chlorophyta; Mamiellophyceae; Monomastigales; Monomastigaceae.
GGAAGGGUGUCCGAGUGGUUGAUGGUCUUGGUCUUGAAAACCAACGUGGCGUAAGUUACCGUGGGUUCGAAUCCCACCCCUUCCG